GAUGAACGCUGGCGGCGUGCCUAAUACAUGCAAGUCGAGCGAACAGACGAGGAGCUUGCUCCUUUGACGUUAGCGGCGGACGGGUGAGUAACACGUAGGUAACCUACCUAUAAGACUGGGAUAACUUCGGGAAACCGGAGCUAAUACCGGAUAAUAUUUCGAACCGCAUGGUUCGAUAGUGAAAGAUGGCUUUGCUAUCACUUAUAGAUGGACCUGCGCCGUAUUAGCUAGUUGGUAAGGUAACGGCUUACCAAGGCAACGAUACGUAGCCGACCUGAGAGGGUGAUCGGCCACACUGGAACUGAGACACGGUCCAGACUCCUACGGGAGGCAGCAGUAGGGAAUCUUCCGCAAUGGGCGAAAGCCUGACGGAGCAACGCCGCGUGAGUGAUGAAGGUCUUCGGAUCGUAAAACUCUGUUAUUAGGGAAGAACAAACGUGUAAGUAACUGUGCACGUCUUGACGGUACCUAAUCAGAAAGCCACUGCUAACUACGUG
Molecule: ribosomal RNA, 497 nt
Filed under: uncultured bacterium
Lineage: Bacteria
Description: partial 16S ribosomal RNA
Rfam family: Bacterial small subunit ribosomal RNA
Source: RNAcentral